This 465-nucleotide ribosomal RNA is filed under the name Vreelandella stevensii. RNAcentral describes it as "partial 16S ribosomal RNA". It matches the Rfam family "Bacterial small subunit ribosomal RNA", at positions 338 to 795 of the family's 1533-position model. The record is from RNAcentral. Lineage: Bacteria; Pseudomonadati; Pseudomonadota; Gammaproteobacteria; Oceanospirillales; Halomonadaceae.
CCUACGGGUGGCAGCAGUGGGGAAUAUUGGACAAUGGGGGCAACCCUGAUCCAGCCAUGCCGCGUGUGUGAAGAAGGCCCUCGGGUUGUAAAGCACUUUCAGUGAGGAAGAACGCCUGGUGGUUAAUACCCAUCAGGAAAGACAUCACUCACAGAAGAAGCACCGGCUAACUCCGUGCCAGCAGCCGCGGUAAUACGGAGGGUGCGAGCGUUAAUCGGAAUUACUGGGCGUAAAGCGCGCGUAGGUGGCUUGAUAAGCCGGUUGUGAAAGCCCCGGGCUCAACCUGGGAACGGCAUCCGGAACUGUCAAGCUAGAGUGCAGGAGAGGAAGGUAGAAUUCCCGGUGUAGCGGUGAAAUGCGUAGAGAUCGGGAGGAAUACCAGUGGCGAAGGCGGCCGUCUGGACUGACACUGACACUGAGGUGCGAAAGCGUGGGUAGCAAACAGGAUUAGAUACCCGUGUAGUC